RNAcentral lists this ribosomal RNA (254 nucleotides) under uncultured bacterium. RNAcentral describes it as "partial 16S ribosomal RNA". It matches the Rfam family "Bacterial small subunit ribosomal RNA", at positions 524 to 776 of the family's 1533-position model. The record is from RNAcentral.
UACGUAGGUGGCAAGCGUUAUCCGGAUUUAUUGGGUUUAAAGGGUGCGUAGGCGGCUUGAUAAGUCAGUGGUUAAAGGUAGCAGCUUAACUGUUUUACAUGCCACUGAUACUGUUGAGCUUGAGUUGACAGAAGGCAGAUAGAAUUUCUGGUGUAGCGGUGAAAUGCUUAGAUACCAGAAGGAAUACCGAUUGCGAAGGCAGUCUGCUGCAGUCACACUGACGCUGAGGCACGAAAGUGCGGGGAUCAAACAGG